AGAGUUUGAUCAUGGCUCAGGAUGAACGCUAGCGGCAGGCUUAAUACAUGCAAGUCGAGGGGCAGCGGGAGUAGCAAUACUUGCCGGCGACCGGCGCACGGGUGCGUAACACGUAUACAAUCUGCCUCUAACAGGGGAAUAGCCCGGAGAAAUUCGGAUUAAUACCCCAUAACAAAUGAGAUGGCAUCAUUUUAUUUUGAAAGCUACGGCGGUUAGAGAUGAGUAUGCGUCUGAUUAGCUAGUUGGUGAGGUAACGGCUCACCAAGGCGACGAUCAGUAGGGGAUCUGAGAGGAUGACCCCCCACACGGAUACUGAGACACGGAUCCGACUCCUACGGGAGGCAGCAGUAAGGAAUAUUGGACAAUGCCCGCAAGGGUGAUCCAGCCAUGCCGCGUGCAGGAAGACGGCCCUAUGGGUUGUAAACUGCUUUUGUACCGGAGAAAACCUUUCCCUGCGGGGAGAGCUGAUCGUACGGUGAGAAUAAGCAUCGGCUAACUUCGUGCCAGCAGCCGCGGUAAGACGAAGGAUGCAAGCGUUAUCCGGAUUCAUUGGGUUUAAAGGGAGCGUAGGCGGUCUAAUAAGUCAGUGGUGAAAUCUCUCGGCUUAACUGAGAAAUGGCCAUUGAUACUGUUGGACUUGAGUACAGAUGCCGUUGGCGGAAUAUGACAUGUAGUGGUGAAAUACAUAGAGAUGUCAUAGAACACCGAUUGCGAAGGCAGCUGACGAAACUGUAACUGACGCUGAGGCUCGAAAGUGUGGGGAUCAAACAGGAUUAGAUACCCUGGUAGUCCACACUGUA
Molecule: ribosomal RNA, 800 nt
Filed under: uncultured bacterium
Lineage: Bacteria
Description: bacterial SSU rRNA
Rfam family: Bacterial small subunit ribosomal RNA
Source: RNAcentral